Molecule: long non-coding RNA, 4842 nt
Filed under: Podarcis lilfordi (Lilford's wall lizard)
Lineage: Eukaryota; Metazoa; Chordata; Lepidosauria; Squamata; Lacertidae
Source: RNAcentral
GUCACACAUUACUUCUAAGAGAAAAUUUCUCUUUUGAAAAUUGGAUUUGUAAAAAGAAAGUUGAAAGAGAAAGUAAACAGGGUCAAACCUCCCCAGAAUUCUUGUGGGUUCUUCAAAACUGCAAUAAACCGAAGUUCAGCCAGAAUGUAGCACCAAGGCCAAGAGAACGUCAGCUUGGUUAACAAGCAAAAUCAAAGAAGGUAUUAGAGGAAAGAAAUAAUAGAACCAUAGAAUUCUAGAGUUGGAAGGGAUCCCGAGAUUCAUUUGGUCCAACAACUUCCCUACAAGGAAAUAUUACAUAUUUGGGACUCUGGUUUAGGAAAAAGGUGAAUGGGGAUGGGGGAGCAUGGUAUAAGAGUAUAAAAUUGUGCCUUGUGUGAAGAAAGUGGAUAGAGGGGGGAUUUUCCUCCAUUUCUCGUGAUACUAGAAUCUGAUGUCAUCCAGUGAAGCUGAAUGUUACAAGAUCCAGGAAAGGCAAAGAAGUACUUCUUCACAGAGUGCAUAGUUAAACUAUGAAAUCUUCUUCUAUACGAUUUAGUAAUGGUAUAGACAAAUUCAUGAAGGAUAAGGCUACGAGUAACUACUAGCCAUGAUGGCUGUGCACAACAUCUGGUAUCAGGCACUAUGUCUCUGAAUGCUGGGGAGCACAAGCAAGGAUAGUGCUCUUGCACUCAUGUACUACUUGUAGGCUUAUCAUGGGUCAUAGGCUGGUCACUAAAAACAGAAUACUGGACAGAUGGGUCUUUCAUCUAAUCCAGCAGGUUCCUUCAUAUAUUCUUAUGCUCCUUUUGAAGAAUUUUUGUUGGAAACCAAGACUCCUGGCUCCUUGCUGUAGCUAAAAUGAAUAUACAGUAUAUUGGGGUCAGUGGGAAGAGCCAUGAGCUGGGAAUUCUGAUUCCUAACGUCUAUAGCAACAUCUUUUGAGUUGUGUGAAUAUGUUUUAGAACUGUAGAAAAGGCACAAAGCUUUGAAUCAGCCCAUCUGACAUUUCAACUUUGGGCACCUACUGAUUAGUUUGGAAAAGAAGUCAGACCAGCUGUUCCCCAGAUGUUGCAUGCCAUGUAGUGGUCAGAAGCAGUGCCUGAUUUUUUUUUGGGGGGGGAGGAGGAAUGUCAAAUAUAUUAUGCCCAUCUGAAAGUCUAUUCUGUAACCUGUCCCAGUUCAUUUCUAGAGGUGGGUAAGCCAUGGCUCACCAGUGCUUGAGGCUCAGAAAGGUGCAUGAUUGAAGGCACUCCUCUCUUCUAAUCAUCACUCUGGCACUUAGAAAUGGACUUGAAAUAUUUUGACCUAUACUCUAAGCAUGCAAGUGGGCACAUGGAAUGCUUUGUCUCUCAUGCCUGGACCUGUUCUGGAGGCAUCUUCCUCCAAUCUGUCCUCCAACCAUCAAUCUCAUCCUAGUGAGUAAACAAAUUAAGCAGGCAGGCAAAGAGAGGCGGCUGCUCGGAAGUCUUUGCGGGUAGAUGGCUGCAUGCCUGACCUUUCCCUCCGCCAAGCCCAGGUGCUGCUAAUGUGGUGUCAAGUAUUAAUUACCUUCCAAAUGAGGCCAGGAGGGUCAGGCUAUCUCCCUGCAGCUGGUUCCUCCCAGAGUGAGAGGGAAGCUGAGCAGAAAGGACAGAGGAGAACCCUUCUGGGAGGGCAGAAUUUGCAGUUUGAGCUGUAGAUUGAUUUGUUGGUAUAAUGUGUUAAAGAGGCAAUAAACUCCAUAAAGCUUACUAUCAAGACAGUGUUAUCCCAAUAGGCAUUCCAUAUGUGCCAUUUGUCAUGAAUAUUCCUGCCUUGUUAAGAGUGUAACCGUAAGCAGGGGUCAUAGAAUCAUAGAAUUGUAGAGCUGGAAGGGAUCUCGAGGGUCAUCAAGUCCAACCUCCUGCAAUGCAGGAAUCUCAACUCAAGCAUCCAUGACAGAUGGCCAUCCAACCUCUGCUUAAAAACCUCCAAGGAAAGAGAGUCCACCACCUCUCAUGGGAGUCUGUUCCACUGUCAAAUAGCUCUUACUGUCAGAAUGUUCCUCUUGAUGUUUAGUCGGAAUCUCCUUUCUUGUAACUUGAAGCCUUUAGUUUGAGUCCUAGCUUCUGGUACAGGAGAAAACAAGCUUGCGCCAUCCUCCAUGUGACAGCCCUUAGGUCAGGGCAGCCCUUGGCAACAUUUGACCUCGACAGAGCCUAGUCCCUCCUUCCCAAAUCCUGGUGCCUUGCUUAUCCAGCUUUGGGAAGACAGCAUGAGGGUGGCAGGGGUGUGUGUCAAAUUUUGACCUUGCUGCCCCCUCCUGAGCAAAGCUAUAGUGUGCAGCCCAUGGGUACCAUUUUGAAGUACCUUUGUGGCCCAUUUGGUAUGAAUAGUUGGACUGCCCUGCUUUAGAUAUUUGAAGAUGUCUAUCAGAUCUCCUCUCAGGACUCAUCUACACUGCUGCAAAUACGUUUUAAAUGUGUUGUAAAGUGCAAUAUACAAAUGUGACCCUAAAUGGUGAUAGUGAACUAUGCAAACCUCAAAUGUAUUUUUCAAAACUUUUUCAUGGGGGUUUUCUAUGUGUGUAGAUUCCAUCUCAGUCUCCUCUAGACUCUACAUGAGUCCUAGAAUGUGUUUUCACUGCUGUGGCUCAACCUUGAAAUACAAACGAAGGGGGCUUCUGGAGCAUGUGUAGAGUGUACAUGAGCUAGCAUGCAAGGAAAACCUGUCUACAAAUUGCAGGAAUGUAGGUCAUUUCCUGCGACCUUUCAGCAUGCAGAAGAUGUGGCAUCAAUAGCUAUGGAGCAGUGGUGGUGCAAGAGGAAAAAUGAUGGGGGCACAGACAGGGCCAAGUUACAAGGCCCACCCUAAACAUAUUCUCUGAAGUAAGUCCUAUUGGUUUGAGCUGAGUCUUCAAUAAGAAUGCUUAGGUCUGCAGCUUUAAUUUAAUCUAUUAAUGUAUUAAUUGCAUGUGGAAAGUGCUUUUCCUUCAAGUAACCAUAGGUAUCUGGUAGUGAUGGGGACGUGAGCUACUUGUUGGGGGUUGCUGCCCUUGCUUCCCCUUCGUGCUGCCUUGGGCAGUGGGGAACCUGUAUGGCUCAUGAAAUCCUGCUGAUCAUGUGAGAUUCCUCUCUGGGCUUCUUCUUUUUUAAAAAAGCCUUGCCUUGUUAGAUUAGAAAUAAAGCCAGUAACCCUAUAAGUGUAUACACAGUGCUCUUUCUGGUAAUAAAUAAAUAAAUAAAUAAACAAAUCAGGUCCCGCUAUUCAUAUAUUGGUAAAAGCAUUGUGGGUUCCAGUGCAAAAUGGCUGUCGUGGACAGAGAAAAUAGAGGUGCUGCUAAUCGGUGUCAGUGAGAACUAUCACAAAAAAGGCCUAGGUGCACAUAAAUAAGAACUAAAGAACAAAUCUAAUAUAUAAAAAUAGAUUCAACCAUAAAACUAGUAGGAGCAAUAAAAUAUCAAACCGCAUGCAAUAAUCAGCCUAAAAAAAACCCAACACGAGGAGCAUCUUCAGUGACUCACUCAAACGGCCUGGCACUGGCAAGUCUCCUUUUUUAUGUAAGAGGCUUGCAGUGUUGUGACAACUACAGAGUUAAAAACAAAGCAACCUGGGCAUCAGGGCGGGUCCAAGACAUUUUGCUGCCUGAGGUGGAACAGCAAAUGGCACCCAUCUCUGGUCAAGUCAAGAGUCAUAGUGUCCUAAACUGGCACCUGAGGCAGAAAAUCCCACAAAUGCCUGUCCCUGGGAAUAUAAUAAUAGCAAUAAUAAUAAAUUAAAAUGUAAGAAUUUUCUGCCCUUCUAUCAGAGGUGGUUUUAGGGUAGAGUGACUGGUUUGGCUGCAGGGGGCGCCACAACAAUGCUGUAGAAUGGAGUGUGAGAGCCCAAAGUCCGCCAUCUCUUCCAUUAUGCUCAAAGUCAGCUUCCUGAGAUGAGCAUCUCACUCGACCUAACAGCAGGGCUGAUACAGGUAGGCAUUCUAACAUAACAUUGUACCCCAAAGAGACAAAUAGAUGAGUUUACUCUGCAGUCCGGACUCCUGUUUCCAGUGAUAAUUAAAACAAUACAUGAAGUGAAUUCAGCCUGGCAUUUUACCACAUGUUUUGCAUGACAACCUAGGUGUGUGCAUGCCUAGCUGUCAAUACAUUUUGCUAAUGGAGGCAGAACGAGAAAUGGAUCCCCCAGUGCAAUGCAAGGUAUACAGUGGUACCUCAGGUUAAGUACUUAAUUCAUUCCGGAGGUCCGUACUUAACCUGAAACUGUUCUUAACCUGAAGCAGCACUUUAGCUAAUGGGGUCUCCUGCUGCUGCCGCGCCACCAGAGCACGAUUUCUGUUCUCAUGCUGAAGCAAAGUUUUUAACCUGAAGCACUAUUUCUGGGUUAGCGGAGUCUGUAACCUGAAGCAUAUGCAACCUGAAGCGUAUGUAACCUGAGGUACCACUGUAUAGCACCCAAGAUCAGUCAGGUUCAUUUAGGACCUGAGGCAGAAGAAACAUAUUACAUAUUGAGAAAGUGGAGCUGGUUGUGAGGGGGAAAUGGAUUGCAAAAGAUUUUAACAGAGUAUUGCUGCUUUGGUUGAAUAGUCAUUGUGUUUAUCCACUAUACAUUUGAGGUUUGCAAAGGAAACCAAGACUUUAUCUUUUACAUUUCCUGACAUUUCAGAUCUACUGGUUUACUUCUUUUUUUAUUUAAACCCAUGUUAACUAAGAAUAAUAGUUUAUGCAUAUGGUGACAUGAAUGGCAACUUUUCCAACAAUCUCACAAUAUCUUUUUGCGUUGCUAUAAAUGCCUACAGACCUGCCCCUCCAAUUUAAAUACCAACAUCAUUGAUUUAUUAAUCACCUUCUAAAGAAGCAUCUCAAGGCAAGCCACACAGAAGAUAAUUAAAACAGUUAAAAACUC